Picea glauca (white spruce) is the source of this 45-nucleotide non-coding RNA. The record is from Rfam. NCBI's taxonomy places the organism in Eukaryota, Viridiplantae, Streptophyta, Pinopsida, Pinales, Pinaceae.
AUAAUGGUGUCUUUAGACACCACCGAUAUUUUUUGAAGUUAUUCU